RNAcentral lists this ribosomal RNA (253 nucleotides) under uncultured bacterium. Its description in RNAcentral is "partial 16S ribosomal RNA". It matches the Rfam family "Bacterial small subunit ribosomal RNA", at positions 524 to 776 of the family's 1533-position model. The record is from RNAcentral.
UACAGAGGUCCCAAGCGUUGUUCGGAUUCAUUGGGCGUAAAGGGUGCGUAGGUGGCGUCGUAAGUCGGGUGUGAAAUCUCGGGGCUUAACUCCGAAACUGCAUUCGAUACUGCGGUGCUUGAGGACUGGAGAGGAGGCUGGAAUUUACGGUGUAGCAGUGAAAUGCGUAGAGAUCGUAAGGAAGACCAGUGGCGAAGGCGGGUCUCUGGACAGUUCCUGACACUGAGGCACGAAGGCCAGGGGAGCAAACGGG